CUCUGUAGGACUGAAAGUGCUCUUGAUUCUGCUUCUCACCUUCCCUGUCCUCUUCCUGGACUCUUCCUUGGAACUGUCAGUUCUUCUGGGGUUUCAGCUUGCCUGGAUUUCUUGUUCAUUGGAGGCAGAAGAGCCUGCUGGGAAGUAAGCUUAAGCUGGGGCUCAGGAGCAUCGGCUCUGGACAAGCUGGUGAGACUGCCUGACACUUGUGUUUUGAAGGGGAGAGGAAGGUGAUGGAAAAGGAUCAGAAACUUCCUGGAAGGAAAGAAUCUGAACACGUGGAAUGUGACCUGGAAGAAAGUCUUAGUCAUCAGGGUUAAGAUUAGUGUCAGAGUUCACCCAAGUUCCAGAGGAGGCUGGCCUGAUCAUCAGCUGGGCUACGUGGAGACCUGGUGCUCCUUCAUAGCAAGUGACCUUGGGCCCAACUCUGAAUUCAGCCACACGAACACUGCCUGUGAAGCACUGGCAGGUCAGUCUGCUUCCACUGGCUUCUCUUUUCAUUUCUUCCACAGUCACACACAGAGCCUUGAUUCAAGCUUCUAGGAAUUAAUAAAGGAAGAGACAAACAUUAGCCUUACCAAGAUUCUAAUUAACUUUGAUGUGGAUUUAUGUGUAAAGUUGGAUGAGUCACUGAUUUUUAAUAAAUGAGAGAGAAAAAUCUUAAAGAUUAAUGUAAUAGCUGGGAACACAGGAGCGAGAACUUUGAUGCUUGCUUAAUUCUUCUCCCCAACCCACAUCAUUUGGAGGAAAAAAUAUCAAAGAACUUUACAAAGGGUGGAAG
RNAcentral lists this long non-coding RNA (781 nucleotides) under Capra hircus (goat). RNAcentral describes it as "lncRNA (ENSCHIG00000000535.1)". Lineage: Eukaryota; Metazoa; Chordata; Mammalia; Artiodactyla; Bovidae. The record is from RNAcentral.